UUCUCAAGAGAGACAAAUAACACGAAUUGAUGAAGCUCGGCUUAACUUCGACAAAGCUACUUUUAAUUUUUUUCGAAGGUUCUGUAAAAAAAAUUCAGAUCCAAACAGCGAUUUCAACAUGACGAUUUCUUUUAGGUUUAUUAAUUUGAUUAGCUUUUGUUAUUGUGUGGUCAAUUUGAUUGGGGGAUUCAAACCUAAAUUUGAGAAAGCAAAAAAAAACGAAUCCAGAUUUGGCGAAGAAGAUGAAGUCCCAAAAAAAAAAAACGAAUACAAAGACGUAAGCGAGAUUCGUACCCAGGUUAAACAUGAAUUGAAUAUCAUAUUUUGCCUUGACUAAGAUAACUUAAUUGUAAAAUUUUGGAAAUAGAUUGUAUAUAUAUUUGUAAAUACGAUGGGUUAAACUUUAACUACAGUUAGAAAGUCUGUUAAAAAGUUAACAGCAGUUAAGUUGGAUGUCUGAUUUUAUCAAAUUAAACAAAAAUGAAGGUUUUUAAAGAGAAAAAUAAUUAAC
RNAcentral lists this small RNA (511 nucleotides) under Arabidopsis thaliana (thale cress). Its description in RNAcentral is "ATSL139330". Lineage: Eukaryota; Viridiplantae; Streptophyta; Magnoliopsida; Brassicales; Brassicaceae. The record is from RNAcentral.